CCUACGGGAGGCAGCAGUGAGGAAUAUUGGUCAAUGGAGGCAACUCUGAACCAGCCAUGCCGCGUGAAGGAAGAAUGUCCUACGGAUUGUAAACUUCUUUUAUUUGGGAAGAAACCCCUCUACGUGUAGAGGGCUGACGGUACCAAACGAAUAAGGACCGGCUAACUCCGUGCCAGCAGCCGCGGUAAUACGGAGGGUCCAAGCGUUAUCCGGAAUCAUUGGGUUUAAAGGGUUCGCAGGCGGUUUAUUAAGUCAGUGGUGAAAGCCUACAGCUCAACUGUAGAACUGCCAUUGAUACUGAUAGACUUGAAUUUAGUUGGAGUAGGCGGAAUGUGUAGUGUAGCGGUGAAAUGCUUAGAUAUUACACAGAACACCGAUAGCGAAGGCAGCUUACUAAACUACGAUUGACGCUCAUGAACGAAAGCGUGGGGAGCGAACAGGAUUAGAUACCCUGGUAGUCCACGCAGUAAACGAUGAUUACUCGUUAUUGGCGAUACACGGUCAGUGACUAAGCGAAAGUGAUAAGUAAUCCACCUGGGGAGUACGGUCGCAAGAUUGAAACUCAAAGGAAUUGACGG
This 578-nucleotide ribosomal RNA is filed under the name uncultured bacterium. RNAcentral describes it as "bacterial SSU rRNA". It matches the Rfam family "Bacterial small subunit ribosomal RNA", at positions 338 to 916 of the family's 1533-position model. The record is from RNAcentral.